This is a non-coding RNA of Pseudonaja textilis, 753 nucleotides long. The record is from RefSeq and is a predicted model, not a curated record. NCBI's taxonomy places the organism in Eukaryota, Metazoa, Chordata, Lepidosauria, Squamata, Elapidae.
UGGAUUUCUAUCAAAACAGAGAUGAACUGUCUACUAGCUUCUGCUGACAUUAAACAUCAACUUGUAUUGGAUGACAGAAAAAUUGAAGCUCCCUAUGAGCAGAAGCUGAAGAGGGCUGGGAUUAAUUUAAACAGGGAUAUUGAAAUUAGACAAUGUCUGAUCCCUGCCACCCAAGAUAUCUUGUUAUUUUGGGCCAGUAGAGUUUUUGAACAGGCAGGUCCAUUUAUGCACUUAUACUAUCUGGUUUAACCAAUAGGUAGUUUGGGCCUAUGGAUCAUUUAUCUAAAGCAGGAUUUUCCUGGGUGAUUUUUCUAUGCAAUGUGUUUCUUUUAAGUACUUAAAUAGUUCAUUUCUUGUAUUAGUUCAGGUUCCAGUUAUAUUUGAAAUAUAAAAUAUCUCUCCUUUCCCCACCACCCAAAAAACAAAACAAAAAUCCAAUGGGACCAGAAAUGAAUAAUGGCUACAGACUUGGCUAAAGUUUCACAGCCAUUUAAUCUUUUCACAGUGGUAAGACAUUGGCUCUGAGUUUAUUGAAUGGAAAAGUCACUCUCUGCUUCUUCUUUCUUCCUCUUGAUAUUCUUCAUGUUGUUCUCUGCACAUGGGCAUUUUAUUCAUAUUUGUCCCCUUGGAUAAUAAUAGGACAUGGAGGGAGUCAUAAGACAGUGGACCAAUUAAUGAUAAAUUAGAUUCUUAAAAACUGCCUGGUUCCUUAUGAAUGUAUUUAAAUUGAUUUGCAUGGUGCCAAAGGAUUUA